UACGUAGGGUGCGAGCGUUGUCCGGAAUUAUUGGGCGUAAAGGGCUUGUAGGCGGUUUGUCGCGUCUGCUGUGAAAAUCCGGGGCUCAACCCCGGACUUGCAGUGGGUACGGGCAGACUAGAGUGUGGUAGGGGAGACUGGAAUUCCUGGUGUAGCGGUGAAAUGUGUAGAGAUCGGGAGGAACACCGGUGGCGAAGGCGGGUCUCUGGGCAUUUCCUGACGCUGAGGCGCGAAAGCGUGGGGAGCAAACGGG
RNAcentral lists this ribosomal RNA (253 nucleotides) under uncultured bacterium. RNAcentral's name for it is "partial 16S ribosomal RNA". It matches the Rfam family "Bacterial small subunit ribosomal RNA", at positions 524 to 776 of the family's 1533-position model. The record is from RNAcentral.